RNAcentral lists this long non-coding RNA (1137 nucleotides) under Polistes fuscatus (common paper wasp). Its description in RNAcentral is "uncharacterized LOC122514157". The record is from RNAcentral. Lineage: Eukaryota; Metazoa; Arthropoda; Insecta; Hymenoptera; Vespidae.
UCACGCGCACGCUGACCGAGUUGUACACGCGCCGAUAGGCCCAACUAAAGCCACGUGCCUCUGCCGAACUAUCGACAACGUACAAUUCUCACGAUGCUUCCUUAUUCAAUAUUAUUAUAUUUAGACACACAUUGUUCUUUCUUUUCCGGUAAAAUCGAUCGAUUGAAAAGAGUCCUUCCCCGAAUAGAACCCUUUUCCAACAGAAAUAUUUAUAAAAUCGGCCUACGUGUCUCUCUCUCUCUCUCUCUCUUGGCGGGCGAUAGGUCUUUGAAUGUUUAGUCGCCAGCUUGCAAUACGACGACGAUGUCACCUCCGUGGUAAUAAAACUAUCUGCGAAGCGUUCUAAAUUUUCCUGACGAACUAUUGAUAACAUGUUCUUGAUUACUAUUGAUAACUGAACUAUUGAUAACAUGUAAGAACUCAAUGGAAAAGCUUUUAGUUUUUAAUUUUUUCCUAUGAAGUUAUGAUAAACAGCAUCGUUUUAAAAAUCACUAUUGGCAAACAUUGAUGUAAUUAGCGUUGUUUUCAUGCCGAACAGAUUUCUCAGAUGAAUAUACCAACGUCCGUGAUAGUUGUAGUAUUAAUACCCGAUAUUCGGAGAAGAGAUUUCAUUUGUUUCCCAUGCCAGACUAAUAAUUAUCGCUAUAAUGGUUGAAAGGGUGACGAUAUGGUAUAGAGACACGAUUGAGUCUCCGAAAGUAGAAAGAGUUUGGUCGGAGACGGCGCCAGGUUUAUUUGAAGUUCAAAAACAUGAAAUUUAGGAUGACGUGUUGUGAUGUAUACAAAAUAUAUAUAUAUAUACACCCACAACAUAUGUACGUAUAUAACCGGUUUACCUAUAUAACCGUGUGAUUUAUAUCUAUGUAUAUGUACGUACAGUCAUGUAAGUAUAAUACCUGCAUGUAUAUAAACACAUACUCAUAAAAUAAACGCCGAAGGCAGUUUGAUCGCGUGGACCGGAUUCGCUUACUAUUUGACUUGAAUUUACGUGUAUUUAUUCACAUUUUACAGUCAAAGACGCCGGCGCCUCAAAGAUUGAAGAUGACCGGGAGCAGACGAUACUGAUGACGACGACGACUAAGUACGACCGACAAACCCCCCUCAAGACUAAUAAUAAUAAUAGAAAGAAAACGAGAA